CCUGCAGAGACAUCUGGCGGACAC
Molecule: microRNA, 24 nt
Filed under: Apis mellifera (honey bee)
Lineage: Eukaryota; Metazoa; Arthropoda; Insecta; Hymenoptera; Apidae
Description: ame-miR-3782-5p
Source: miRBase by way of RNAcentral